GAGGUGACUGAGUGGCGGACGGGUGAGUAACGCGUGGGUAACCUACCCUAUACAGGGGGAUAACAGUUGGAAACGACGUGCUAAUACCGACAUAAGCGCACAGGACCGCAUGGUCUAGUGUGAAAAACUCCGGUGGUAUAGGAUGGACCCGCGUCUGAUUAGCUAGUUGGUGAGGUAACGGCUCACCAAGGCGACGAUCAGUAGCCGACCUGAGAGGGUGACCGGCCACAUUGGGACUGAGACACGGCCCAAACUCCUACGGGAGGCAGCAGUGGGGAAUAUUGCACAAUGGGCGAAAGCCUGAUGACCAGCGACGCCGCGUGAACGAAGAAGUAUUUCGGUAUGUAAAGUUCUAUCAGCAGGGAAGAAAAAUGUACGGUACCUGACUAAGAAGCUCCGGCUAAAUACGUGCCAGCAGCCGC
This 422-nucleotide ribosomal RNA is filed under the name uncultured bacterium. RNAcentral's name for it is "bacterial SSU rRNA". It matches the Rfam family "Bacterial small subunit ribosomal RNA", at positions 84 to 518 of the family's 1533-position model. The record is from RNAcentral.